UACGUAGGGUGCGAGCGUUGUCCGGAAUUAUUGGGCGUAAAGAGCUCGUAGGCGGUCUGUCGCGUCUGCUGUGAAAUCCCGAGGCUCAACCUCGGGCCUGCAGUGGGUACGGGCAGACUAGAGUGCGGUAGGGGAGAUUGGAAUUCCUGGUGUAGCGGUGAAAUGCGCAGAUAUCAGGAGGAACACCGGUGGCGAAGGCGGGUCUCUGGGCCGAUACUGACGCUGAGGAGCGAAAGCGUGGGGAGCAAACAGG
This 253-nucleotide ribosomal RNA is filed under the name uncultured bacterium. RNAcentral describes it as "partial 16S ribosomal RNA". It matches the Rfam family "Bacterial small subunit ribosomal RNA", at positions 524 to 776 of the family's 1533-position model. The record is from RNAcentral.